Molecule: long non-coding RNA, 238 nt
Organism: Sinocyclocheilus anshuiensis
Lineage: Eukaryota; Metazoa; Chordata; Actinopteri; Cypriniformes; Cyprinidae
Exons: 3
Source: RefSeq, a predicted model, not a curated record
GUUACCCUGUCGUCACCAUCAGCAAGAACGACAGUCUUGAUAGCAGUGUCACCAUCUCACAAGAGCACUUCGUCUAUGACACGGACGCUAAGAUCCAGAAUCCUGAGCUGUUCAAUAACAGCUUCCAGUGGCAAAUACCGCUUACGCUGGCAGUGGGAAACUCCAGUCACAUAUCAACAGAGACCAUCAUUUGGGUCUCCAAUAAAACAGAGACACACAGAGUGGGACACGUGGACGG